RNAcentral lists this unclassified non-coding RNA (422 nucleotides) under plant metagenome. Its description in RNAcentral is "partial contains 5.8S ribosomal RNA, internal transcribed spacer 2, and large subunit ribosomal RNA". It matches the Rfam family "Bacterial small subunit ribosomal RNA", at positions 358 to 777 of the family's 1533-position model. The record is from RNAcentral.
GGAAUAUUGGGCAAUGGACGAAAGUCUGACCCAGCCAUGCCGCGUGGAGGAGGAAGGCCCUCUGGGUUGUAAACUUCUUUUAUUGGGGAAGAAAAGCACUGUUUCUACGGUGUCCGACGGUACCCAAGGAAUAAGCACCGGCUAACUCCGUGCCAGCAGCCGCGGUAAUACGGAGGGUGUAAGCGUUAUCCGGAUUUACUGGGUUUAAAGGGUGCGUAGGCGGGCUAGUAAGUCAGAGGUGAAAUCUCCAAGCUUAACUUGGAAACUGCCCCUGAUACUAUUAGUCUUGAAUAUCGAUGAGGUGGGCGGAAUACAUCAUGUAGCGGUGAAAUGCUUAGAUAUGAUGUAGAACACCGAUUGCGAAGGCAGCUCACUAACCGAUUAUUGACGCUGAGGCACGAAAGCGUGGGGAUCAAACAGGA